GUAGGUUUCCAAUUUCCUAAAAGAAUUGGUGGUGCGGAUGGGGAAUUUUUCUCCGCCUGUUUCCUAGUUCAGUCAAAACUAGGUGGCGAGCCUAGCA
This 97-nucleotide non-coding RNA is filed under the name unclassified sequences. RNAcentral describes it as "wcaG RNA". It matches the Rfam family "wcaG RNA". The record is from RNAcentral.